UACGAACUGCGCGAACGUUAUUCGGAAUCACUGGGCUUACAGGGUGCGUAGGCGGCUUUUCAGGUCCGAUGUGAAAUCCCACAGCUCAACUGUGGAACGGCAUUGGAAACCGAUCAGCUCGAGUGGGCUAGAGGUGCACGGAACUUCCGGUGGAGCGGUGAAAUGUGUUGAGAUCGGAAGGAACACCAGAGGCGAAAGCGGUGCACUGGGGCUUGUCUGACGCUGAGGCACGAAAGCCAGGGGAGCGAACGGG
Molecule: unclassified non-coding RNA, 253 nt
Filed under: uncultured Planctomycetales bacterium
Lineage: Bacteria; Pseudomonadati; Planctomycetota; Planctomycetia; Planctomycetales
Description: contains 16S-23S intergenic spacer region
Rfam family: Bacterial small subunit ribosomal RNA
Source: RNAcentral